AGAGCAGAAGGAUGAGAU
Molecule: microRNA, 18 nt
Filed under: Homo sapiens (human)
Lineage: Eukaryota; Metazoa; Chordata; Mammalia; Primates; Hominidae
Description: hsa-miR-4468
Source: miRBase by way of RNAcentral